Molecule: transfer RNA, 73 nt
Filed under: Diaphorina citri (Asian citrus psyllid)
Lineage: Eukaryota; Metazoa; Arthropoda; Insecta; Hemiptera; Psyllidae
Rfam family: tRNA
About the family: Transfer RNA (tRNA) molecules are approximately 80 nucleotides in length. Their secondary structure includes four short double-helical elements and three loops (D, anti-codon, and T loops). Further hydrogen bonds mediate the characteristic L-shaped molecular structure. tRNAs have two regions of fundamental functional importance: the anti-codon, which is responsible for specific mRNA codon recognition, and the 3' end, to which the tRNAs corresponding amino acid is attached (by aminoacyl-tRNA synthetases). tRNAs cope with the degeneracy of the genetic code in two manners: having more than one tRNA (with a specific anti-codon) for a particular amino acid; and 'wobble' base-pairing, i.e. permitting non-standard base-pairing at the 3rd anti-codon position.
Source: Rfam by way of RNAcentral
GCCUAGUUAGCUUAGUUGAUAGUGCGUCUGCCUUGUAAGCGCUAGGCCGCGGGUUCGAUUCCCGCUCGAGGCG